GAGUUUGAUCGUGGCUCAGAUUGAACGCUGGCGGCAUGCCUUACACAUGCAAGUCGAACGGCAGCAUGAUCUAGCUUGCUAGAUUGAUGGCGAGUGGCGAACGGGUGAGUAAUACAUCGGAACGUGCCCUGUAGUGGGGGAUAACUAGUCGAAAGAUUAGCUAAUACCGCAUACGACCUGAGGGUGAAAGUGGGGGACCGCAAGGCCUCAUGCUAUAGAAGCGGCCGAUGUCUGAUUAGCUAGUUGGUGGGGUAAAGGCCCGACCAAGGCGACGAUCAGUAGCUGGUCUGAGAGGACGAUCAGCCACACUGGGACUGAGACACGGCCCAGACUCCUACGGGAGGCAGCAGUGGGGAAUUUUGGACAAUGGGCGAAAGCCUGAUCCAGCAAUGCCGCGUGUGUGAAGAAGGCCU
Molecule: ribosomal RNA, 413 nt
Filed under: uncultured microorganism
Description: bacterial SSU rRNA
Rfam family: Bacterial small subunit ribosomal RNA
Source: RNAcentral